RNAcentral lists this ribosomal RNA (345 nucleotides) under uncultured eukaryote. RNAcentral describes it as "bacterial SSU rRNA". It matches the Rfam family "Eukaryotic small subunit ribosomal RNA", at positions 1471 to 1801 of the family's 1831-position model. The record is from RNAcentral.
CCUUAGAUGUUCUGGGCCGCACGCGCGCUACACUGACGGAUGCAACAAGCAUAGCUUCGCAAGAACAAACCUUGGCCGGAAGGUCUGGGCAAUCUUCGAACGUCCGUCGUGAUGGGGAUAGACCCUUGCAAUUAUUGGUCUUCAACGAGGAAUUCCUUGUAAGCGCAGUUCAUCAAACUGCGUUGAAUACGUCCCUGCCCUUUGUACACACCGCCCGUCGCUCCUACCGAUUGGAUGGUCCGGUGAACUCCUCGGAUCGUGCUAGCCGACUGGUCUCCAGCCGAGUUGGCGCGAGAAGUUGAGUAAACUUUAUCAUCUAGAGGAAGGAGAAGUCGUAACAAGGUU